GCCGCUCACCUACAUCUUCAAUAUUGGCUUCUUUUUAUAGUACAAACAUCAUUAAAGGAACAUAACUCUUUUGAAAGAUAACCAAUAGUUUCAGUGAUGUUGAUAUAGUUGUAGAUCUGAUCCUAUUUAUAAUUUUUCCUUUUUCAUAGUUUCUUUUUUUCUACUAUAGCUUUCAAGAUACGGACAAAAAAUUAUAGAUCUGUUUUUUAAAAUUAUCAUUGAAGGGCAUUAAUGUGAGUGGUCUAACAAUUCCGGUACUGACUUAUUUGUAGAACAUUAUUGUUGACCCCUUUUGCUAUCUAAAAGAGGUUCUUACAAAUGACUUUUAUGAUUAAUAAAUCCUCUUUUGACACCGAAAUAAUCUUGUCAAUAUACUUAAAAAAGGUUUUGUGUGAUGUUGAUGUUAUUUAGAUUUGGAUUAAAAAUAUAAAUCAAUGUCAGCUAACGAAUAUCUUAUCUCUAGAUAACUGGUGGAUUGGUUUAAUAGACAUAAAGAUCGAAGGCUCGUUUGAAUGGAUUUCUGGUCAUCCUCUUUCAUUCACUGAUUGGUAUCAAGGUCCACCUAGUGAACCGGAUAAUCAUGGUAUCAAAGGAACUAGAAGUGUCGUGGACUGUGUUUACUUAUCUCCUCUUAACUUUUUCCAGUGGAAAGAUGAGGAUUGUUUCGCAGCCUAUUUUAAUCCGUCUAAUAUAGUCUAUGAAGAUUACACCAAAGCAGUCCAAUUUACAUAAUGGUCUCGAUGGAGUGUAUACAUCAGAGAAUAGAUUACAAAACUUGCCGAAUAAAUGGCCAAAAGAUGAAUAGAAAUAAAAUAGGGCAAACAAUAGAGAAUAUCGGGGUGCUAAAUUAUAAAGAGUAUAGAAUAAUGUACAAAAAUUAAUACAAAUAAAUAAAAAGAUUAAAGAAAAAAGAAUUGAAGGACCCUCCACCCAGAACCACUUACAAAAUAUUAGAUUUAUAUACAUAUAAAUUUUAACACUGCAUCAAGAGUGACACAAUAUUUCUCAAGGUGAGUAAAAUUUAUUUUUAUUGCAGUAUUAUUUUUU
This 1047-nucleotide long non-coding RNA is filed under the name Mytilus galloprovincialis (Mediterranean mussel). The record is from RNAcentral. Lineage: Eukaryota; Metazoa; Mollusca; Bivalvia; Mytilida; Mytilidae.